UACAGAGGUCCCGAGCGUUGUUCGGAUUUACUGGGCGUAAAGGGUGCGUAGGCGGUCGAGUAAGUCUAAUGUGAAAGCCCCGGGCCCAACCCGGGAAGGGCAUUGGAAACUACUGGACUGGAGGGUUGGAGGGGGGACUGGAAUUCCCGGUGUAGCAGUGAAAUGCGUAGAUAUCGGGAGGAACGCCAGUGGCGAAGGCGAGUCCCUGGACAACCCCUGACGCUGAGGCACGAAAGCUAGGGGAG
RNAcentral lists this ribosomal RNA (245 nucleotides) under uncultured bacterium. RNAcentral describes it as "partial 16S ribosomal RNA". It matches the Rfam family "Bacterial small subunit ribosomal RNA", at positions 524 to 768 of the family's 1533-position model. The record is from RNAcentral.